Molecule: ribosomal RNA, 1002 nt
Filed under: uncultured organism
Description: bacterial SSU rRNA
Rfam family: Bacterial small subunit ribosomal RNA
Source: RNAcentral
GGGGAAUAUUGCACAAUGGGGGAAACCCUGAUGCAGCAACGCCGCGUGAAGGAUGACGGUUUUCGGAUUGUAAACUUCUUUUCUUAGUGACGAAGACAGUGACGGUAGCUAAGGAAUAAGCAUCGGCUAACUACGUGCCAGCAGCCGCGGUAAUACGUAGGAUGCAAGCGUUAUCCGGAUUUACUGGGUGUAAAGGGAGCGCAGGCGGGACUGCAAGUUGGAUGUGAAAUACCGUGGCUUAACCACGGAACUGCAUCCAAAACUGUAGUUCUUGAGUGAAGUAGAGGCAAGCGGAAUUCCGAGUGUAGCGGUGAAAUGCGUAGAUAUUCGGAGGAACACCAGUGGCGAAGGCGGCUUGCUGGGCUUUAACUGACGCUGAGGCUCGAAAGUGUGGGGAGCAAACAGGAUUAGAUACCCUGGUAGUCCACACUGUAAACGAUGAUAGCUAGGUGUGGGGGGUCUGACCCCUUCCGUGCCGGAGUUAACGCAAUAAGCUAUCCACCUGGGGAGUACGACCGCAAGGUUGAAACUCAAAGGAAUUGACGGGGGCCCGCACAAGCAGUGGAUUAUGUGGUUUAAUUCGAAGCAACGCGAAGAACCUUACCAGGUCUUGACAUCCGACUAACGAGAUAGAGAUAUGUCAGGUGCCCUUCGGGGAAAGUCGAGACAGGUGGUGCAUGGUUGUCGUCAGCUCGUGUCGUGAGAUGUUGGGUUAAGUCCCGCAACGAGCGCAACCCCUGCCAUUAGUUGCUACGCAAGAGCACUCUAAUGGGACCGCUACCGACAAGGUGGAGGAAGGUGGGGACGACGUCAAAUCAUCAUGCCCCUUAUGACCUGGGCUACACACGUAAUACAAUGGCCGUUAACAGAGGGAAGCAAAGCGGUGACGCGGAGCAAAACCCUAAAAACGGUCCCAGUUCGGACUGUAGGCUGCAACCCGCCUACACGAAGUUGGAAUUGCUAGUAAUUGCGGAUCAGCAUGCCGCGGUGAAUACGUUCCCG